CCUACGGGAGGCAGCAGUGGGGAAUAUUGCACAAUGGGGGAAACCCUGAUGCAGCGACGCCGCGUGAGUGAAGAAGUAUUUCGGUAUGUAAAGCUCUAUCAGCAGGGAAGAAAAUGACGGUACCUGUUUAAGAAGCCCCGGCUAACUACGUGCCAGCAGCCGCGGUAAUACGUAGGGGGCAAGCGUUAUCCGGAUUUACUGGGUGUAAAGGGAGCGUAGACGGUGAUGCAAGUCAGAAGUGAAAGCCCGGGGCUCAACUCCGGGACUGCUUUUGAAACUGUGUGACUGGAGUGCAGGAGAGGUAAGCGGAAUUCCUGGUGUAGCGGUGAAAUGCGUAGAUAUCAGGAGGAACACCAGUGGCGAAGGCGGCCUACUGGACUGUAACUGACGUUGAGGCUCGAAAGCGUGGGGAGCAAACAGGAUUAGAUACCCGUGUAGUC
This 440-nucleotide ribosomal RNA is filed under the name uncultured bacterium. RNAcentral's name for it is "partial 16S ribosomal RNA". It matches the Rfam family "Bacterial small subunit ribosomal RNA", at positions 338 to 795 of the family's 1533-position model. The record is from RNAcentral.